AAGAAGAAGAAGAAGAAGAUGAAGAUGAAUUGGAGGGAAGGGUGUUCGAGAGUGUGAAUUAGUGUGAUACACAUUUCCGAUGAGGCGCAAUUUAAGUAAUUUCGAGAAAUCGUGCGAAGGGUCGCGUGUAGCCUUUCUUUUAUCGGAGUCGACAUAGCGAGUCGAGGGGUCGUAUUUUGGCGGUUGAUAGAGGUGAGGGAGAUCGCGUAGUAGUUAGCAUCUCCUACCCAUAUGGCUUUACAGUAGAGG
Ananas comosus (pineapple) is the source of this 249-nucleotide long non-coding RNA. RefSeq lists it as uncharacterized. Lineage: Eukaryota; Viridiplantae; Streptophyta; Magnoliopsida; Poales; Bromeliaceae. The record is from RefSeq and is a predicted model, not a curated record. The transcript is spliced from 3 exons.